Molecule: long non-coding RNA, 317 nt
Organism: Thalassophryne amazonica
Lineage: Eukaryota; Metazoa; Chordata; Actinopteri; Batrachoidiformes; Batrachoididae
Exons: 2
Source: RefSeq, a predicted model, not a curated record
GGUCUGACCAAAGUGACUUUGUUGACGUUUUGCUGCCUGAAUGUUAGCGUUAGCAUUUGUGCUUUCAGUGGGGAGUUCUUGGCUUUGUGGGUCUUCUGUUGUUUUUCAUAUUUUUCCCUGAAAAUCCUUAGAUUCAGUUGAGGUUCUUUGUCUUUUGAUGAGGCUUGACUCUGAGUCAUUGUCGCCUUUCCUCCCUCCCUGACCUGUUUACCACACACGCCCGUGGAGGCAAUGCUCGUUAGCACAGCUUCGCCGCACAGGCGCUGAAUGAGGCGGCUUGUUGACACACACAAUGGGAUCAACAAAACACAAACAAC